Molecule: ribosomal RNA, 253 nt
Filed under: uncultured bacterium
Lineage: Bacteria
Description: partial 16S ribosomal RNA
Rfam family: Bacterial small subunit ribosomal RNA
Source: RNAcentral
UACGAAGGGGGCUAGCGUUGUUCGGAAUCACUGGGCGUAAAGCGCGCGCAGGCGGUCUUCCAAGUCAGUGGUGAAAGCCCGGAGCUCAACUCCGGAACUGCCAUUGAAACUGUUAGACUUGAGGAUGAGAGAGGUGAGUGGAAUUCCCAGUGUAGAGGUGAAAUUCGUAGAUAUUGGGAAGAACACCGGUGGCGAAGGCGGCUCACUGGCUCAUUUCUGACGCUCAGGCGCGACAGCGUGGGGAUCAAACAGG